Non-coding RNA from Gossypium hirsutum (cotton), 119 nucleotides. The record is from Rfam. Lineage: Eukaryota; Viridiplantae; Streptophyta; Magnoliopsida; Malvales; Malvaceae.
AGUUAAAAGUUUCAUCCAUUUGUACUGUUAAGAAUUGACUUGGUUGAUAUGCCAGGUGUAUCUCAUGUUCACAUAUAGAUAUUAGCUUUUAACAGUAGAAUUGGAUAGAAUUUUUAACA